AUCCUUCUGUUCAUGAGCGUGAUGACUGGGUGUUCAUGCCUUAUGCAUGAGAUAUGCCACCCUCAAACCUGGUUACGACGUGGGCAUAUUACCUGUCUGACA
Octodon degus (degu) is the source of this 102-nucleotide small nucleolar RNA. RefSeq annotates it as small nucleolar RNA U13. The record is from RefSeq and is a predicted model, not a curated record. Lineage: Eukaryota; Metazoa; Chordata; Mammalia; Rodentia; Octodontidae. The transcript has a single exon.